AGAGUUUGAUCAUGGCUCAGGGCAAACGCUGGCGGCGUGCCUAAAACAUGCAAGUCGAACGCACAUCACUUGUGGUGUGAGUGGCAGACGGCUGAGUAACGCGUGGGUGACGUACCCGAUGGUGGGGAAUAACUGCCCGAAAGGGUGGCUAAUACCGCAUACGCCUGCAGCUUCGUGGCUGUAGGGAAAGUCGCAAGGCGCCAUUGAUGAGCGGCCCGCGUUCGAUUAGCUGGUUGGUGGGGUAACGGCCUACCAAGGCGACGAUCGAUAGCUGGUCUCAGAGGAUGAUCAGCCAGACUGGGACUGAGACACGGCCCAGACUCCUACGGGAGGCAGCAGUUAGGAAUUUUGGGCAAUGGGCGCAAGCCUGACCCAGCAACGCCGCGUGGGUGACGAAGGCCUUCGGGUUGUAAAGCCCUUUUCUGAGGGAAGAUGAUGACGGUACCUCAGGAAGAAGCACCGGCUAACUACGUGCCAGCAGCCGCGGUA
RNAcentral lists this ribosomal RNA (489 nucleotides) under uncultured Chloroflexota bacterium. Its description in RNAcentral is "bacterial SSU rRNA". It matches the Rfam family "Bacterial small subunit ribosomal RNA", at positions 8 to 522 of the family's 1533-position model. The record is from RNAcentral. Lineage: Bacteria; Bacillati; Chloroflexota.